AGUCCAUAACUAAAAGAUACUAGAAAUUUAUAUUUGUGGCCAGGAAUAUGACAGAUGAAGUAAGUUGUCAGGCAGGGUUGAUCUAGUAGUGGGGAGAAGUUUCGGGGAACGGAUGGGUCCUGACUGCUGAGGCACCCCCAGGAGGGCAGCCGCAGUUGUGUUCUCAACGAACCAUGUAGGACAUUGUCGUCGUAUUCUGCUAUUACGUGUAGGAGAAGUAGGAAGUGGUACUUGACGAGUUGGAAGGAUUGGGCUGAAUUUCACAAGAUUUGCUUCUGUCUCUGCCCCAGCUGUGUGUCAGCUAUGGAUGAAGAAACGAGACCUAGGGUCCCCUCGAUUGGCUACUGCUAUGGUCUUAUCACUUACCGUGAGCUGACAUUGGCACUAACACUUACAUCUUCCCAACCACCUGGAGAGGGAGAAGUGUCGCCACAUCUCAGUGGCCUCUGCAUGAGACCCGUGUCACUGGAUCACGUCCCACUGUCUUUCAGGGUGGCCAUCACAGCAGGUUCUUCCAAUGAGAGGUUCCACAACAGGUCUAGCUUGGAAAACCAAGGGUCAGAGACCAAAUCAGGAACAGAUAAAGAUGGGAGAUCAAAGGCCAGAGGAAGCCCAAACAUGACCUUCCUGUUGGUCUUGCAGACACGGCCUAAGACCCCAAACUCAAGGCUGGAAGUGGGGCUGCGGGAGGACCACGUGCUGAGCAUGAAUGAGGCCCCGGGUUCAGGUCCCAGCACCGAAAAGUAGAUAAAUCCAAAAUCUUACACCCACACAAUUAAAACAGGAUUACACAAGGAACCACCGUAAAUACGGCUCUGAGCAUGGGAGGUGACGCCACAUUUCCCUGAGACAGAUUCAUUGUCUGUCUGUUUGUCUGUGGUUUCUUUCUUUUUGCCACCAGAAGAGCCCCAAUGCUAGACGACCAGGAAGGCUGGGCUUCCUCCAUCCCUGCCUCAGAGGGGACGCAGGCACGAGGCUCGGUGCAGCACAUGGAAGGACUCGACCCUCAGCUGCGUCGAGUAAUGACAUUUCUGGGGUUCACUUGGUCGGGGGGGGGCAGUGGUCCCGCUUCCAUCUCCUGACUUAUAGAGGUCUUCGGAACACGUCUGCCUUCAGCCCGACCCCUUCUAAAACUCCUGUGUGCGCUCCUGAAAGACAGGCAACGUGUUGCUCUUUAUCAAGUCUGUAGGUUUUGGGGGUUUGUAGAUGCUAUGUGAACUUGGGCCUUGUGUGUAUAAACAGAAAAAGAAGAAAACAAGAAAAACAAGGGCACAAACCUCGCUCCCCUUCCUGUUGGUUGACAUCUGAGGAAUUAUGUCUCAAUCCUGGCGUUUGACUUGAUAUCCUUUGGAUUAAGAGAGAAUUUUCUUAUGUAUGAAUUUGCUAAAACCGUGUUUUCCACUCACCUGUAAUUUAAUGAAGUGUUUAGUGUUUUUACUUUUGAAAAUUCUCAAAGCUGCCUUAGCUACUGGCUCUCUGAGGCUCCUUUCCGGGCUUGUUAACGCCUCCCGCCCCCACCAGGGCCGCUGCUGAUUUCUUGCUGUGGCUGCAGAAACCUGGGCUCUCCUGGCACCCUGCGGAGGCAUAGGAUUUGUUCUCUGCAUGUGACGGCUUCUGAAAAUUUCUUGCGUGUCUCAUUUUUCUCAAACGCACGUCCUUGUCCCUUCCUUCCUCCCCUCUGUGGCGGCAGACAGAGGGGAGUCAGCUCCUGCCAGCUCUCAGGAGGCCCCAGAGCGCCCACUCUCAGGGCCAAGCACGUCUGUAGCGGGCAGAGUGCGUGCCCGGGCGACAUGCUGACCUGGACCCGGGCUGACGGAGCGCAGGUCUUCCCUCCUGCAGCCCGUGAGAAGCUUUUGCAGACCUUCCGACACUGGGAGCGAGAACCAACUCUGGCUCCGUGAGCUCCUCCAACAGGUGCUGGGGAUGGAACUACCUCUGGCUCUGCUUUUUGCUGUUGUUCCUGUUCUCAAGGAGAAAAGCGUCGAGUCUCCCCCACCAACUAGGACACUAGCAGCAGUUUCUUCCAGCUCAAUGUCAGCCUGUGAGCAAUUUUACCGCUCAGAUCUGUGAGGAUAACGAGUCUCCUUGGGGUUGGUGGAGCAGCUCUUACUGGGGAGCCAGAAGAAGUACGUGGAUCUGGACUGCAGCCCAGGAGCACUUGCUGGGGCAGCUUGGGAGAUGUCACCAGUAGUGACGGGAAGGACCCCUGGCUCUGUCCCAAAGUCAAAGUGACUGUGAAGGGAGACGUCGUGAUGGAUUCAGGAUUGAGGCUGCCACACAGCACAACUAAAGACCCUCAGAAAAGAGGACUCCAGAGCUGCUGCAGGAAGUGGCCAGGACCAUGGGAUGAGUGCGCUGGAACUGAGGGGGAGGACUUUAAAGGGGAUUCAUGGCAAAGUGUCCUUUCCUGGAAUAAUUUUUAAAUUUUAAAAGAUGCAAUCAUUCAUAGUAGUUUUUGAUCAGAUCUUGUGAUUGCAGUAAGUCAGGCAGCCAGCUUUCCACUCUUCCCUUCCCUUCCUUCCUUUUUCAUCCUUUCUGUUCCUUCUUCAUGCUGCUAUUUCUGCUCUUGUAACUGCUUCUUCUCACAUAGUUAUUAUGAGACUCAGUAACUUUUAAGAGAAUAUUUUAAAUUUCAUUAAUCUCUUUGGUAUUUUUUUUAUUACAUUAUUACACCUAUGCUUUUUGUUUGUUUGCUUGCUUGUGUGUGUUGAUAAAUGA
Heterocephalus glaber (naked mole-rat) is the source of this 2718-nucleotide long non-coding RNA. RefSeq lists it as uncharacterized. Lineage: Eukaryota; Metazoa; Chordata; Mammalia; Rodentia; Bathyergidae. The record is from RefSeq and is a predicted model, not a curated record.